GAUGAACGCUAGCGGCAGGCUUAAUACAUGCAAGUCGAGGGGCAGCACGAAUAGCAAUAUUUGGUGGCGACCGGCGCACGGGUGCGUAACACGUAUACAACCUACCUAUAACAGGGGGAUAGCCUUUCGAAAGAGAGAUUAAUACCCCGUAAUAAAUUGAGUGGCAUCACUUGAUUUUGAAAGCUACGGCGGUUAUAGAUGGGUAUGCGUCUGAUUAGCUAGUUGGUGAGGUAACGGCUCACCAAGGCGACGAUCAGUAGGGGAUCUGAGAGGACUAACCCCCACACUGGUACUGAGACACGGACCAGACUCCUACGGGAGGCAGCAGUAAGGAAUAUUGGUCAAAUGGGAGGCAACUCUGAACCAGCCAUGCCGCGUGCAGGAUGACGGCCCUAUGGGUUGUAAACUGCUUUUGUACCAGAGAAAACCUACUCACGUGUGAGUAGCUG
This 449-nucleotide ribosomal RNA is filed under the name uncultured bacterium. Its description in RNAcentral is "bacterial SSU rRNA". It matches the Rfam family "Bacterial small subunit ribosomal RNA", at positions 28 to 471 of the family's 1533-position model. The record is from RNAcentral.